UACAUAGGGGGCAAGCGUUAUCCGGAAUUAUUGGGCGUAAAGGGUGCGUAGGCGGCUUUCUAAGUCUGAGGUAUAAGUGCAGUGCUCAACGCUGUGAUGCUUUGGAAACUGGAAAGCUAGAGUGAGAUAGAGGCAAGUGGAAUUCCAUGUGUAGCGGUAAAAUGCGUAAAUAUAUGGAGGAACACCAGUGGCGAAGGCGGCUUGCUGGGUCUAUACUGACGCUGAUGCACGAAAGCGUGGGGAGCAAACA
RNAcentral lists this ribosomal RNA (250 nucleotides) under uncultured bacterium. Its description in RNAcentral is "partial 16S ribosomal RNA". It matches the Rfam family "Bacterial small subunit ribosomal RNA", at positions 524 to 774 of the family's 1533-position model. The record is from RNAcentral.